UACGUAGGGUGCGAGCGUUGCCCGGAUUUAUUGGGCGUAAAGGGCGCGUAGGCGGCUCGGCACGGUCCGUUGUGAAAUCGCCCGGCUCAACUGGGCGGGGUCAGCGGAUACGGUCGAGCUUGAGCAAGCUAGGGGGUAAUGGAAUUCCCGGUGUAGUGGUGGAAUGCGUAGAUAUCGGGGAGGAACACCAGUGGCGAAGGCGGU
This 204-nucleotide ribosomal RNA is filed under the name uncultured bacterium. RNAcentral describes it as "partial 16S ribosomal RNA". It matches the Rfam family "Bacterial small subunit ribosomal RNA", at positions 524 to 725 of the family's 1533-position model. The record is from RNAcentral.